UACGUAGGUGGCAAGCGUUGUCCGGAUUUACUGGGCGUAAAGAGCGCGCAGGCGGCUGGUCAAGUCCGAUGUGAAAUCUCCCGGCUUAACUGGGAAACUGCAUCGGAAACUGAUCGGCUUGAAGGUGGGAGAGGGUAGUGGAAUUCCCGGUGUAGUGGUGAAAUGCGUAGAGAUCGGCAGGAACACCCAGGGGGAAACCAGCCGACUGGGCAUCUACUGACGCUGAGGUGCGAGAGCGUGGGGAGCGAACCGG
This 253-nucleotide ribosomal RNA is filed under the name uncultured bacterium. Its description in RNAcentral is "partial 16S ribosomal RNA". It matches the Rfam family "Bacterial small subunit ribosomal RNA", at positions 524 to 776 of the family's 1533-position model. The record is from RNAcentral.